AACGAACGCUGGCGGCAGGCCUAACACAUGCAAGUCGAGCGAGGACUUCGGUCCUAGCGGCGGACGGGUGAGUAACGCGUGGGAACGUGCCCUUUGCUUCGGAAUAGCCCUGGGAAACUGGGAGUAAUACCGGAUGAGCCCUUUGGGGGAAAGAUUUAUCGGCGAAGGAUCGGCCCGCGUUGGAUUAGGUAGUUGGGAGGGUAAUGGCCUACCAAGCCGCCGAUCCAUAGCUGGUUUGAGAGGAUGAUCAGCCACACUGGGACUGGGACACGGCCCAGACUCCUACGGGAGGCAGCAGUGGGGGAUCUUAGACAAUGGGGGAAACCCUGAUCUAGCCAUGCCGCGUGAGCGAUGAAGGCCUUAGGGUAGUAAAGCUCUUUCAGCUGGGAAGAUAAUGACGGUACCAGCAGAAGAAGCCCCGGCUAACUCCGUG
This 433-nucleotide ribosomal RNA is filed under the name uncultured bacterium. RNAcentral's name for it is "partial 16S ribosomal RNA". It matches the Rfam family "Bacterial small subunit ribosomal RNA", at positions 29 to 507 of the family's 1533-position model. The record is from RNAcentral.